GACGAACGCUGGCGGCGUGCUUAACACAUGCAAGUCGAACGGAAAGGCCCUGCUCUUGUGGGGUGCUCGAGUGGCGAACGGGUGAGUAACACGUGAGUAACCUGCCCUUGACUUUGGGAUAACUUCAGGAAACUGGGGCUAAUACCGGAUAGGAGCUCCUGCUGCAUGGUGGGGGUUGGAAAGUUUCGGCGGUUGGGGAUGGACUCGCGGCUUAUCAGCUUGUUGGUGGGGUAGUGGCUUACCAAGGCUUUGACGGGUAGCCGGCCUGAGAGGGUGACCGGCCACAUUGGGACUGAGAUACGGACCAGACUCCUACGGGAGGCAGCAGUGGGGAAUAUUGCACAAUGGGCGGAAGCCUGAUGCAGCAACGCCGCGUGCGGGAUGACGGCCUUCGGGUUGUAAACCGCUUUCGCCUGUGACGAAGCGUGAGUGACGGUAAUGGGUAAAGAAGCACCGGCUAACUACGUG
This 468-nucleotide ribosomal RNA is filed under the name uncultured bacterium. RNAcentral describes it as "partial 16S ribosomal RNA". It matches the Rfam family "Bacterial small subunit ribosomal RNA", at positions 28 to 507 of the family's 1533-position model. The record is from RNAcentral.